GGAUCUCGGAGUUCAAUCAACAAUAAAUAUCAUUUAAUCAAAGAUUCCAAGGCAAAAAUGCAAGAAACAUAAACCGAAAAUACAACCCAUUAAUGGCCGAAAAUCUGGACAACAACUUCUCUUGUUUAUGGUUGAUUUUCAGGCUCAGGAAUAGCUCCCAUGUCAUGCAAAUCACCUUCCAAAGAGAGAGCUAGAAAACCGGCAAAGAACCUCCUUUGAAACUGCCACCACCGCACCCCUCUCUUCUACCAAGUUUUGAGAAACAUCACCUAUACUUAGCCACUAUUUCAGGCCUAAGUUAUCACAAGGGACACUCAAGAAGAAGCUCACAAGAAGGCACUCUCA
Molecule: long non-coding RNA, 345 nt
Filed under: Olea europaea (common olive)
Lineage: Eukaryota; Viridiplantae; Streptophyta; Magnoliopsida; Lamiales; Oleaceae
Description: long non-coding RNA (OEUR_LNC013728)
Source: RNAcentral